RNAcentral lists this ribosomal RNA (497 nucleotides) under uncultured bacterium. RNAcentral describes it as "partial 16S ribosomal RNA". It matches the Rfam family "Bacterial small subunit ribosomal RNA", at positions 28 to 507 of the family's 1533-position model. The record is from RNAcentral.
GAUGAACGCUGGCGGCGUGCCUAAUACAUGCAAGUCGAGCGAACAGACGAGGAGCUUGCUCCUCUGACGUUAGCGGCGGACGGGUGAGUAACACGUGGAUAACCUACCUAUAAGACUGGGAUAACUUCGGGAAACCGGAGCUAAUACCGGAUAACAUGUUGAACCGCAUGGUUCAACAGUGAAAGACGGUCUUGCUGUCACUUAUAGAUGGAUCCGCGCCGCAUUAGCUAGUUGGUAAGGUAACGGCUUACCAAGGCAACGAUGCGUAGCCGACCUGAGAGGGUGAUCGGCCACACUGGAGCUGAGACACGGUCCAGACUCCUACGGGAGGCAGCAGUAGGGAAUCUUCCGCAAUGGGCGAAAGCCUGACGGAGCAACGCCGCGUGAGUGAAGAAGGUCUUCGGAUCGUAAAACUCUGUUAUUAGGGAAGAACAAAUGUGUGAGUAACUAUGCACGUCUUGACGGUACCUAAUCAGAAAGCCACGGCUAACUACGUG